GGCGGACGGGUGAGUAAUGCAUCGGGACCUACCUGAACGUGGGGGAUAACGUAGGGAAACUUACGCUAAUACCGCAUACGUCCUACGGGAGAAAGCGGGGGACCUUCGGGCCUCGCGCGGUCAGACGGACCGAUGUUCGAUUAGCUAGUUGGUAAGGUAAUGGCUUACCAAGGCGACGAUCGAUAGCUGGUCUGAGAGGAUGAUCAGCCACACUGGAACUGAGACACGGUCCAGACUCCUACGGGAGGCAGCAGUGGGGAAUAUUGGACAAUGGGCGCAAGCCUGAUCCAGCAAUGCCGCGUGUGUGAAGAAGGCCUUCGGGUUGUAAAGCACUUUUAUCGGGAACGAAAUACCAUUGGUUGAUAACCGGUGGGGCUGACGGUACCCGAGGAAUAAGCACCGGCUAACUUCGUGCCAGCAGCCGCGGUAAUACGAAGGGUGCAAGCGUUAAUCGGAAUUACUGGGCGUAAAGGGUGCGUAGGCGGUUAGUUAAGUCUGUUGUGAAAUCCCCGGGCUC
RNAcentral lists this ribosomal RNA (517 nucleotides) under uncultured Dyella sp. RNAcentral describes it as "bacterial SSU rRNA". It matches the Rfam family "Bacterial small subunit ribosomal RNA", at positions 97 to 610 of the family's 1533-position model. Lineage: Bacteria; Pseudomonadati; Pseudomonadota; Gammaproteobacteria; Lysobacterales; Rhodanobacteraceae. The record is from RNAcentral.